This 253-nucleotide ribosomal RNA is filed under the name uncultured bacterium. Its description in RNAcentral is "partial 16S ribosomal RNA". It matches the Rfam family "Bacterial small subunit ribosomal RNA", at positions 524 to 776 of the family's 1533-position model. The record is from RNAcentral.
UACGAAGGUGGCAAGCGUUACUCGGAAUUACUAGGCGUAAAGGGCAGGUAGGUGGUUCGAUAAGUCUGUUGUGAAAGCCCCCGGCUCAACUGGGGAGGGUCACGCGAUACUGCUCGACUCGAAGGCAGGAGAGGGAAGUGGAAUUCCCGGUGUAGUGGUGAAAUGCGUAGAUAUCGGGAGGAACACCAGUGGCGAAGGCGACUUCCUGGCCUGUUCUUGACGCUGAGGCGCGAAAGCUAGGGUAGCAAACGGG